UGCCAGCUUCAUCAGCCUGCGCGUCAGAUGACCUCCUCGACUUCUUUGGUGAUCGGAUGGGUUGACCGGGUGGGCCAGAUAACCCAGUGUCGCCUUUCUGUCCAACAAGACCCUAUGAAGAAAAACAGGCACUUUACGAUCUGGCAAUGAAUAUGAACACAGGCAAACCAGGGGGACCAGGAGGACCGAGAGGACCUGAAGAACCAGCAAUACCCUACAAAACCAAAGCAAGCAAUUACAAUAACAACAACU
This is a long non-coding RNA of Callorhinchus milii (elephant shark), 252 nucleotides long. RefSeq lists it as uncharacterized. Lineage: Eukaryota; Metazoa; Chordata; Chondrichthyes; Chimaeriformes; Callorhinchidae. The record is from RefSeq and is a predicted model, not a curated record. The transcript has 3 exons.